Molecule: long non-coding RNA, 877 nt
Organism: Rhipicephalus sanguineus (brown dog tick)
Lineage: Eukaryota; Metazoa; Arthropoda; Arachnida; Ixodida; Ixodidae
Exons: 3
Source: RefSeq, a predicted model, not a curated record
AUAACUCGGGCCUUUGCUUCAUUGAGCUUCUAUGCACAGUAUUCGUCGUGUCGCAUCGGUAGAAGCCCAUUUGGCUUUGUCUCGAGGUUAGAACUCGGGCCUUUGCUUCAUUGAACUUCUAUGCACAGUAUUCGUGGUGUCGCAUCGGUAGAAGCCCGUUUGGCUUUGUCCUGAGGUUAGAACUCGGGCCUUUGAUUCAUUGAACUUCUAUGCACAGUAUUUGUCGUGUCGAAUCGGUAGAAGCCCGUUUGGCUUUGUCCCGAGGUUAGAACUCGGGCCUUUCAUUUAUUGAACUUACUUGCGCAGUAUUUGUCGUAUCGCAUCGGUAGAAGCCCAUUUGGCUUUGUCUCGAGGUUAGAACUCGGGCCUUUGCUUCAUUGAACUUCUAUGCACAGUAUUCGUCGUGUCGCAUCGGUAGAAGCCCGUUUGGCUUUGUCCUGAGGUUAGAACUCGGGCCUUUGAUUCAUUGAACUUCUAUGCACAGUAUUCGUCGUGUCGCAUCGGUAGAAGCCCAUUUGGCUUUGUCCCGAGGUUAGAACUCGGGCCUUUGCUUCAUUGAACUUCUAUGCACAGUAUUCGUCGUGUCGCAUCGGUAGAAGACCGUUUGGCUUUGUCCUGAGGUUAGAACUCGGGCCUUUGAUUCAUUGAACUUCUAUGCACAGUAUUUGUCGUGUCGAAUCGGUAGAAGCCCGUUUGGCUUUGUCCCGAGGUUAGAACUCGGGCCUUUCAUUUAUUGAACUUACUUGCGCAGUAUUUGUCGUGUCGCAUCGGUAGAAGCCCAUUUGGCUUUGUCUCGAGGUUAGAACUCGGGCCUUUGCUUCAUUGAACUUCUAUGCACAGUAUUUGUCGUGUCGCAUUGGUAGAAGCCCGUUUGGCU